GUGCCAGCAGCCGCGGUAAUACGGAGGGUGCGAGCGUUAAUCGGAAUUACUGGGCGUAAAGCGCAUGCAGGUGGUUAGUUAAGUCAGGUGUGAAAGCCCGGGGCUCAACCUCGGAAUUGCAUUUGAAACUGGCUGACUAGAGUACUGUAGAGGGGGGUAGAAUUUCAGGUGUAGCGGUGAAAUGCGUAGAGAUCUGAAGGAAUACCGGUGGCGAAGGUGGCCCCCUGGACAGAUACUGACACUCAGGUGCGAAAGCGUGGGGAGCA
Molecule: ribosomal RNA, 266 nt
Filed under: uncultured prokaryote
Description: partial 16S ribosomal RNA
Rfam family: Bacterial small subunit ribosomal RNA
Source: RNAcentral